This is a long non-coding RNA of Suricata suricatta (meerkat), 3376 nucleotides long. The record is from Ensembl. NCBI's taxonomy places the organism in Eukaryota, Metazoa, Chordata, Mammalia, Carnivora, Herpestidae.
UUGUACAGAUGUAAUACUCGCAAGCAAAAGAUUGUUUACAAACUUCCUGAAUAUUAUCAAUGCAGAACAGCUGUGGAGACACUUUAACCCGAAGAUCUAUACCAAACGUAGUCUGCUUACCAUGUAACAUGGUUGCAUCUUGAGCAGUGACCUGCCGAGGGCAAAGGACCCUGCUCCCUGGACUCACAGAUUUUCUAACGCUUGGGCAGGUGGUUACUGCAUGUUCCACAUCCGUCAAUGCAACUUAGGACAAAACCAACAGGAUACAAAAACCAGAGGCGAGGCUGCCGGGACCAGCAUAUUCCACUGCAGCCCAAUGGAUUUUAUUUAUUUUUUUCAUUUUGGUGAUUCUCAGAAGCAGAAAGCAUCACUUUAAAAAGUUUGUUCAUGCAAACUAUAUUUGCAUUCUUACAUUAGUUAAGCUAAGCAGCAAAAAGAAACACACACACACACACACACACACACACACACACUUCCAUCUAGCCCAUGUCAUUUAAUUGUCCAUUUCUUUGACAUAAACCGCAUCUUCUCCACAUGGGCGUCACGUGGUUUGGAGAUGGGUGGGGGAGAACAAUCAGGUUUCUUCAGGCUGAGGAGGACUUGCUCAGGCCGAUUCCAAACAUUGUGCUCGUUCAAUGCGUAGAAAUGAUUUGCAUGAUGGCAUGCCGUGAUCAGAAGUCAUGCAUGAGACCCAUACACCACAGGACACUACUAAUCCUGUCCCCUGCGCUGGGUCAGCCUUUGGACAGGACCCAGCCCGGCACCGUUCACUGUAUUUGGAGGAAAAAAAAAUGGCUGAGGAGGCCCCGUACUUCGGAGGGCGAGAGCAGCAAAAAUGUCCCAAGUCAACACAGCCUACUCCCACUUCUCUAAACGAACCACCUUUGGUGUCGGAAGUUGACUGGGGAGAAAUAAGCAGAAGCUCCCGCUCAAAGCCCCUGGAACGACAGCGCCCAGAGUUCUGUUCUUUUCCGCCGCGACCAAUGCCACCUGGCAGAGCCCCCGGAGAUGAUGUCAAGCCAACCCCGCCGGGCCGGCCUCACUUCUGCCUUUCUCACCAGUAUGCUAAGAAAAGAGCUAUCCUGAUGCCCCAAAGCUCGGGCGAGCACAAUGCCCAAUAGUCUCCACUCUGCUAGCUAAUGCUGGGCCCUGCCCUCCAUCACCCCGACACAUACACCAGCAGACUACGGCUGGUCUUGUUCACAUCCGUGCAGGAGAGAGGGGCACCGCUCCCCCUCCCUCCCCCUGCCCUGCUUUGGGGACAUCCCUCUCUAGGCCAUGUCUCCUGGUCCAGGAACACUCUCAGGAGGAUUUUGAAGUGCCCACUCUAGUCCGCUCCAGUAGCUCCACUCUGGAGAGAGUUGGCUGGUAGGUCAGUCCCCACCCUCCUCCCCUCGCCCCAGCCUCCAGGCCUGCUGUGGAGGUGAGAUUGCCAUGGGUUACGACUUUGUGACUUGAGUCCUGGGCAUCUUCUGUAAGGAUGCCUCUUUCUUUUCUCAGAUGUUGCCCAAAGUUUUGCAAAAAGCUUCCUUCAUUUUCAGGUACCCCCAUCCCCUAAAGAAUUGGCUGCAACUAGCCAGCCAGGGGGACAUCAGGAGAGAGGAGAAAGUCUGGGUCAGGAGGGGCCCAAGGUUUGCACAGGGUCUGUGUUGUGGCUCAGGUCUGUGCUUUCUUGGGUUCCUUUUCCAAGAUUUCCUCUGUUCAAAUGCUCCUGAGGCACCCCCUGCCGCUGCCCCCCACUGCUGUUUGCUGUACAUAGAGGCUAAGUGGGGUGGGGUGGGCGGGUGUGCACGUGUGGUGUGUGUGUGUGAAGAAUGUAUAUAGGUAAAGGGGAGCGUGGUCCAGUGGUUCCAGAAAAGGGAUAGAACUCCUGUGUUCCAUCCCCAGCUCAACCACUGGCUCGCUGUGUGGCCUUGGGCAAGUCACUUAACCUCUCUGUGCCUCAGUUUCCUCAUCUGUAAAAUGGGGAUAAUAAUACUGACCUACCUCACAGGGGUGUUGUGAGGCUUUAACUAAAUGUUUUGUAAAGUGUUUUGAGAUACAGAGGCAAAGGCACUAGGGAAGGGCAAAGUAUUAUUUGGACUUAAGGAAGAUGAAAUGGUACCAUAAAUGCUGCUAUUCUGAGAGCCAUUUUAAACUGCACUGCUCCAAUCACCCCCGCUUCUCAUCACCAGGACAGCAGGUCGAGAAAAUGUCUUUCCUUUCACUUGCUUCUGGGGUUUGUGAUUAUUCUAGACACUUAACUUUUUUUCCCUUGCUGUAUCUCCUUCCCUCACCACCUCGACUUGUUCCCUGUUCCGUUUACGCGGAAAUGGCAGAAAUGCUUGAGAAAUGAGAAUGCAUAAGUGGAUUGGAAGUUUAUAGUCUGAAAUUUCAAUUUUACUUUGUACUGUACAUCUUUUUACUUUAGAAUUUGCAAUAAAGGGUUACGUCAAUCUUGUUUUCAACUCUCCUCUUGGACUGGCCUGUCAUUCUGUCAUUGCUCUCACAGCAAAGCCCCUUGGCCUGGGGGGGGGGGGNNNNNNNNNNNNNNNNNNNNNNNNNNNNNNNNNNNNNNNNNNNNNNNNNNNNNNNNNNNNNNNNNNNNNNNNNNNNNNNNNNNNNNNNNNNNNNNNNNNNAUGCUUGAGAAAUGAGAAUGCAUAAGUGGAUUGGAAGUUUAUAGUCUGAAAUUUCAAUUUUACUUUGUACUGUACAUCUUUUUACUUUAGAAUUUGCAAUAAAGGGUUACGUCAAUCUUGUUUUCAACUCUCCUCUUGGACUGGCCUGUCAUUCUGUCAUUGCUCUCACAGCAAAGCCCCUUGGCCUGGGGGGGGGGGGGGCAGACCCUCCCACCCAGCAAGACCCCACAGCUGUCCUCUUUGCCCUCCCCUGUGGCAGGGGACAGAGUCUAAGGGGUCGCCCAGGGUUAACUCCUCAGAUGGGCUGGCAGGGCCCUAGUGGGUGAGAAAGCUUUGGGGCUCCAGAUAGACCUUCAGAAGUCCAAGUAGGAAGAGCAGCUUGGAGGCAGCAGCCCCUGAAAGUGGGGACACCUCUAGCGCGCGAGCGCGCGCGCACACACACACACACACACACACACACACACACCCUCCCCCCGCCGCUUGUUCUGGACCCCACCAUGUUUGUCAAGCUCCCUUACUGGUCACAGAUCCUUCCAGAGGAUUCAAACUUUCAGCUUAGGCAGCUCUGGGUUGAAAACCCUGAGUAUACCACUAGCUAGUUGUGGCCAGUUUCUUUAUGUGUAAUGGAGUUCAUAACUGUUUUUGUUGGGUUCUGAAGAUUUUAUCAAAUAAUGUAGUAACCUGCUCAGCACAGGGCCUGGCAUACAGUUCGAACUCAAUAAAUGGUAGCUGUCAGUGCAAGGAUUACUGCGGGAUA